AUGAACGCUGGCGGCGUGCCUAAUCCAUGCAAGUCGAGCGAACGGACGAGAAGCUUGCUUUUCUGAUGUUAGCGGCGGACGGGUGAGUAACACGUGGAUAACCUACCUAUAAGACUGGGAUAACUUCGGGAAACCGGAGCUAAUAUCGGAUAAUAUUUUGAACCGCAUGGUUCAAAAGUGAAAGACGGUCUUGCUGUCACUUAUAGAUGGAUCCGCGCUGCAUUAGCUAGUUGGUAAGGUAACGGCUUACCAAGGCAACGAUGCAUAGCCGACCUGAGAGGGUGAUCGGCCACACUGGAACUGAGACACGGUCCAGACUCCUACGGGAGGCAGCAGUAGGGAAUCUUCCGCAAUGGGCGAAAGCCUGACGGAGCAACGCCGCGUGAGUGAUGAAGGUCUUCGGAUCGUAAAACUCUGUUAUUAGGGAAGAACAUAUGUGUAAGUAACUGUGCACAUCUUGACGGUACCUAAUCAGAAAGCCACGGCUAACUACGUG
RNAcentral lists this ribosomal RNA (496 nucleotides) under uncultured bacterium. RNAcentral's name for it is "partial 16S ribosomal RNA". It matches the Rfam family "Bacterial small subunit ribosomal RNA", at positions 29 to 507 of the family's 1533-position model. The record is from RNAcentral.